This 379-nucleotide unclassified non-coding RNA is filed under the name Heliconia laneana. Its description in RNAcentral is "partial external transcribed spacer". The record is from RNAcentral. Lineage: Eukaryota; Viridiplantae; Streptophyta; Magnoliopsida; Zingiberales; Heliconiaceae.
GUCGGCACGUGAGCGGUGAUGGAUUCGCAUGCCACGGCGGGCUCCCUGCCACUGUGCAGCCAACCGCCGUCGCUGCAGCCCCUUCACUCGUGCUCCAACCACUCGGAGCCUCCCGCGUUGCCUGUACAACAUACCCGGUUCUCGGGCAAAUGACUUCGUCCAACACGCUCGUCCGCUCCCCUCGCCUUUGUGCGGGCGCGGAGCGGCAACGUCGGCGGUCCUCGUGCUCCCUCGGACGACGGCACGGCUUUGGCCCCUCGUCUCGUCCCGAUCGGCCCUCGGGGAUUCGCCAGCGCUCGCGGACACGGUAGAUAAUGUUGGCUCGGGGCCUUCGUAGCCCUCGCACCACGAUCGGUCGGCUCACUUCGCCGCCCUCGAU